This is a long non-coding RNA of Anarrhichthys ocellatus (wolf-eel), 515 nucleotides long. RefSeq lists it as uncharacterized. The record is from RefSeq and is a predicted model, not a curated record. Lineage: Eukaryota; Metazoa; Chordata; Actinopteri; Perciformes; Anarhichadidae. The transcript has 3 exons.
GUGAGUAGAGUCUUUGUAACAGAAUUAACGCUCAUUGGAUCACAUGGGAACAGAUUACUAACUCAUAAAGAAGAUAUUAUAUUGGAUCUAUGCUGUGACUAAUAUUCUCUGCUCUGCGCAAUGCCGCCGUGUGGAUAGCUUCUUGCUGUGGCUCCUCAAAGAAGGACAGGACAGGACAAUACCAGUGUAAAGGUACAGGGCAGGAAGUGUGGACAGUCUCUAGUGAUGAAACAACAUCCAGUAAAAAUCCUCCCUAAUUCCUCUGGACAGGAGAGAUGCCCACAUCUCCCCUCCACUUUAUUUAUUUCUGAAGUUCAUUAACUUGCAAUAUGUUGCUCUGUACUUGUUAUAAUGAUGACUUGUCUGAAAACUCCUUGUUUGGAAGUUGGACAAUGUCUGACAGCAGACAAGCGCAGCAGUGGCUCAGAGGUGGCUUACACCUCCUGUGUACCAAUAAUGUAUAUGGUGUAAAUGCAAUGUGGUCAACACAGCAAGUUAAUCCAAUAAAUUCAAUA